AUUGAACGCUGGCGGAAUGCUUUACACAUGCAAGUCGGGCGGCAGCACGGGGGCAACCCUGGUGGCGAGCGGCGAACGGGUGAGUAAUACAUCGGAACGUACCCUGUCGUGGGGGAUAACGAAUCGAAAGAUUCGCUAAUACCGCAUACGACCUGAGGGUGAAAGCGGGGGAUCGCAAGACCUUGCGCUGAUUGAGCGGCCGAUAUCAGAUUAGCUAGUUGGUGAGGUAAAGGCUCACCAAGGCGACGAUCUGUAGCGGGUCUGAGAGGAUGAUCCGCCACACUGGAACUGAGACACGGUCCAGACUCCUACGGGAGGCAGCAGUGGGGAAUUUUGGACAAUGGGCGCAAGCCUGAUCCAGCCAUGCCGCGUGAAGGAUGAAGUAUUUCGGUAUGUAAACUUCGAAAGAAUGGGAAGAAUAAAUGACGGUACUAUUUAUAAGGUCCGGCUAACUACGUGCCAGCAGCCGCGGUAAGUCUCGCGUGA
RNAcentral lists this ribosomal RNA (486 nucleotides) under uncultured bacterium. RNAcentral describes it as "bacterial SSU rRNA". It matches the Rfam family "Bacterial small subunit ribosomal RNA", at positions 30 to 533 of the family's 1533-position model. The record is from RNAcentral.